Scatophagus argus is the source of this 1358-nucleotide long non-coding RNA. RefSeq lists it as uncharacterized. Lineage: Eukaryota; Metazoa; Chordata; Actinopteri; Scatophagidae. The transcript has 3 exons. The record is from RefSeq and is a predicted model, not a curated record.
CACCUCUGCAUUUUUACUGCAGUUGCUGAAAUGAAUGUGUAUCAAGACAUAUGCACGGUGACAGAAAAAACAAAUAGUUCUUAUGAAUGUAUGAAAAUAAAAACAUAAACCGCUUGUGUAGAUUUGGUAUGUUUCUCUGGACUUUCAACUUUCCCCACUAUUUUCACAUUGCUUUUCUUACUGUAACUGUAACUUCCUUUGUUUGGCAUUGAAACUGGACUUCACUCAUGACAUUGUUUGUUAUGUAAUAAAAAUAAACUGAAGAACCUAGCAUGGACAGACUCUCCGGGAGAGUCACUGCGAGUGAGUAACUGUCAAAUACAGGUCACUACAAUCAACUACUUCCUGGAUUUCUUCACAAGCUCUUUCUCAAGUCAUCAUGGAAAGAAGAUAUAACUUGAGACCAAGGGCAUCUGGUCCAACAUGGCCCUACCAGUUUGUUCCUCCUCCACCUUGGAUGUGCACUCUGAUGAGCUCUUCUUUCAGCUUAAGAGAACAAAAAGCUGCUAAAUGAAAAUACCAGCUUACAGAAGACACUGGGGGGAAAUUUACACUUGGCCAAAGAGGACAUCAGAAGGUUGGACAUGGCUUAAAGGCGACAGAGGAAGGCCGGGAGGAGUACAAGUAGAGAAAGCAAAACAUCAGAGAGCAUGAAAAAGAAAUCUCUUCACUUCAAGAAAGUUUCCAGGCUCAGGAGGAGGCGACAGAAACAGUCCAAGACAUCUGGACAAAGGAGUGCUACAAGACAAGGGCUGCCUUUGACAACCAGCUGAAAAUGAUCCAGUCAAUGUGCGACACUCAGUGCGACAAAGACCUUCCCGCAAAUGCAGGCUGACCGGCAGAGUGAGGUGAGCCAGCUGCAAGAGCAGAUUGUGGAACAGGAGAAAGUGAUCAACACAAUUUAAGAGGAAAUUAAGGUUUGCACAGAACAGCACCUCAUUAUUUCAUCCCAGCUCAGCCUCACGCAUUCUCCUCAGAAUGAAGUUCAGACAUGAAGUUCAGAAGGAGCUGGCUCAGAAGGAAGACAGCUGAGAGAAGAGAAAGAGGCAUGAGAAAGAGGAUGCCCUGAUGAAGGUGGUCAGUCAAACUGAGGAUGACCUAAAUUGUUUGAAACAUCCAUCUUCAGGCGCCUGUCCUGCUACAGAACAAGCAGAAGUGACCCUCCCACUGCAACCUCUACCCCUUCAGGCCUACUACUCAUUACCCCUACUGUCUCUACCAAAUUUCUCUUCAUCCCUCUACCUCCCAUCACCCAUCCGCUCCCCUGUCCUUUUCUCUUGUAAAAUAUUUUAAAUGCCUCAAUAAAUUCCAAAAACGUCAAUAAUAUAUGAUUUCAUCUUUUUUUCUGAUGAUAGACU